UUUAUUUGUGUAUAAACUGUUUAAUUUGGGUAUAAACGGUUUGAGCUAGAAUUGUAUCAGUUAGAAUAGUAAUAGAAUUCUAUUAGCUGUGUUUAAUGUUCCUGUCUCUGUAAGUGGAUCACUGUCACACAUUGUACUAAUGACGCAUAUUAACAUUUGCAGUCAGCUCAGUGAAUCUCCUCCAUUAGUCUGAGAAUCAGAAUUGCCUUGUAUAAUAAGCCAAAUAUGUCUUAUUUUUAUUGUUAUCUUAUUUGAACUUGUAUAAGGUUAACUUUAAAUGUUACUUUAGUAC
Molecule: non-coding RNA, 292 nt
Organism: Pelobates cultripes (western spadefoot toad)
Lineage: Eukaryota; Metazoa; Chordata; Amphibia; Anura; Pelobatidae
Source: the annotation of a GenBank genome assembly